Molecule: ribosomal RNA, 686 nt
Filed under: Rhizoctonia sp. A46 FG-2013
Lineage: Eukaryota; Fungi; Basidiomycota; Agaricomycetes; Cantharellales; Ceratobasidiaceae
Description: eukaryotic LSU rRNA
Rfam family: 5.8S ribosomal RNA (bases 234-387)
Source: RNAcentral
GGGCCAUUUUGAGUAUGAGGAGUUGGUUGUUGCUGGCCUUGGGGUAUUUUUUUAAUUAAUUAUUCCGGGGCACUUGUGCACGCCUUCUCUUUCAUCCACACACACCUGUGCACUUGUGAGGCAGAUGGCUGGAGUUCUUUAUUAAUUUAUUGGACUCCUGACUCUGUCUACUUAAUUUACACACACUCUAUUUAAUUUAAACUGAAUGUAAUUGAUGUAACGCAUCUAAUACUAAGUUUCAACAACGGAUCUCUUGGCUCUCGCAUCGAUGAAAAACGCAGCGAAAUGCGAUAAGUAAUGUGAAUUGCAAAAUUCAGUGAAUCAUCGAAUCUUUGAACGCACCUUGCGCUCCUUGGUAUUCCUUGGAGCAUGCCUGUUUGAGUAUCAUGAAAUCUUCAAAGUAAACCUUUUGUUAAUUCAAUUGGUUCCUUACUUUGGUAUUGGAGGUCUUUGCAGCUUCACACCUGCUCCUCUUUGUUCAUUAGCUGGAUCUCAGUGUUAUGCUUGGUUCCACUCAGCGUGAUAAGUAUCUAUCGCUGAGGACACUGUAAAAAGGUGGCCAAGGUAAAUGCAGAUGAACCGCUUCUAACAGUCCAUUGACUUGGACAAAUUAAAUUUUUAUGAUCUGAUCUCAAAUCAGGUAGGACUACCCGCUGAACUUAAGCAUAUCAUAAGGGCGAGAGAAA